UGAGUAACACGUGGAUAACCUACCUAUAAGACUGGGAUAACUUCGGGAAACCGGAGCUAAUACCGGAUAAUAUAUUGAACCGCAUGAUUCAAUAGUGAAAGACGGUUUUGCUGUCACUUAUAGAUGGAUCCGCGCCGCAUUAGCUAGUUUGUAAGGUAACGGCUUACCAAGGCAACGAUGCGUAGCCGACCUGAGAGGGUGAUCGGCCACACUGGAACUGAGACACGGUCCAG
This 233-nucleotide ribosomal RNA is filed under the name uncultured Staphylococcus sp. RNAcentral's name for it is "partial 16S ribosomal RNA". It matches the Rfam family "Bacterial small subunit ribosomal RNA", at positions 107 to 334 of the family's 1533-position model. The record is from RNAcentral. Lineage: Bacteria; Bacillati; Bacillota; Bacilli; Caryophanales; Staphylococcaceae.